Molecule: ribosomal RNA, 506 nt
Filed under: uncultured bacterium
Lineage: Bacteria
Description: bacterial SSU rRNA
Rfam family: Bacterial small subunit ribosomal RNA
Source: RNAcentral
AAUGAACGUUGGCGGCGUGGAUUAGGCAUGCAAGUCGAGCGAGAAUUUGCGAUUGGAAGCUUCGGCCGAAGAAAGUGAAGGAAAGCGGCAAACGGCGUAGUAAGGCGUAGGUACGUACCCUCAGGUCGGGAAUAGCCAUGGGAAACUGUGGGUAAUGCCCGAUAAUCUCUGCGGAGCAAAGGUGUGAUUCCGCCGGAGGAGCGGCUUACGUGAUAUUAGCUAGUUGGUGGGGUAAUGGCCUACCAAGGCGAUGAUGUCUAGGGGGUGUGAGAGCAUGGCCCCCACGACCGGAACUGAGACACUGUCCGGACACCUACGGGUGGCCGCAGUCGAGAAUCUUCCGCAAUGGGCGAAAGCCUGACGGAGCGACGCCGCGUGGUGGAUGAAGGCCCUUGGGUUGUAAACACCUGUCAGAGGGGAUGAAAUCAUGUUAGGUUAUCCUUUCAUGUUGACAGAGCCUCAGAGGAAGCACGGGCUAAGUACGUGCCAGCAGCCGCGGUAAAGUA